GGGAAGGAAGGGCGCGGGGGAUGGCGCCGGGACGCGGGGUCCGGGAAAGCGGGAUCGGCGCGGCGGAGAGCCGCUCGCUUCCCCUGCCUGUCCCGAGGGAGGUGCAGCAGUCCCGCUCAAAGAAGCGCCUCGAAAACAAUAGCGUAUAUUAAACAAAGAAAAUGCCACUGGGAAGAAUGGGAGGGAGGAAAAACAGCAGUUGGGAGGGGGAGAAGGGUCUGGAAGAGAUCCAGGGAAGAGCAGCGAGCCAGAGCCGCUGGUCCCCCGGGAGCGGCCGGUCGGGGCGCCCCGGCAGCCGCCGGCCGUAGGUGCCAGCCCCGCGUCCUGCCAGGGUGCAGGGGCAAGGGGGCAGCGGGUGUUCCCUGCCCGGCGCCCCGGGGGUGCGAGAGGGACCCGCGGCCCCUCCGCAGGCGACCGAAGAAAGGGGGCGGCGCUGGCAGCCCACAGAACCUGUCGCUCCCGGCAGCCAGUCAAAGGUGGCUUAGCUGUCAAGACAACUGCGGCUUUUGAAACGAUGCCGUGAACCUGCCAUGAGAAAGUCUCAGACGGAUGUCUUACAUGUUCUCAUCACUUGUUCAAGAUUGCUUCGCUCUGGACCGGCAGAAAGGAUUGUGCACCAAGCCUGGAUCUCUCCAGCAGCAGGGCUGCAAAUAAGUUUCUAUCAGAGACAAACCUGCAAUUUCCUCCUUUGCCACUCUUUUUGCUGCUGUAUAUGUGUCCUCUUGUUUUGUCCUAAAAAAAAAGAAAAAAUGGAGACAACAUAAUAGGAUUCCAGCGCCUGUAGCUCUAGCAGCUGUACUAAUGUAUUCUUCCCCAAAAAGUGAAAACAAAUUCUUGUUUUAAUUACCGUUUAAAGAUGUCAGAGGCCUUUUCACAUUAAAAAAAAAAAAGUCUGUUGACAAAGGGAUAAAAUGAUGAUUUAAUUAAAUACCUAGCAUUUCAAUUGCUUUUUCUUUUUGAUUUUUCCAUAUUGUGACUCCAAAAUUUUAAAGAUUUCUAAUACAAUUAAUACAGCAAGAUAUGUCACCAAUGUUUAGUCUUUAAUUGGUUUGGAAUUUUGUGUUAUAAGCAAUGUUUUCUCUGGGGCUUAAAGUCUUGUCUCAAGGCUGCUGUGAUAUGCUGAACACUUCUGCUUGGCAAUAGUAUUUAGAAUAUAGUCGUUGGAGAGCUACUUAAAACACCAGAAAUUAUACUGAAGUCCUUGGAGUAGCUCCAUAUUUUAGUAAAUUGUUUGAAGAAAUAAAAUAAUAGUGCGUUACA
This 1260-nucleotide long non-coding RNA is filed under the name Parus major (Great Tit). Its description in RNAcentral is "lncRNA (ENSPMJG00000017326.1)". Lineage: Eukaryota; Metazoa; Chordata; Aves; Passeriformes; Paridae. The record is from RNAcentral.